This 329-nucleotide ribosomal RNA is filed under the name uncultured bacterium. RNAcentral describes it as "bacterial SSU rRNA". It matches the Rfam family "Bacterial small subunit ribosomal RNA", at positions 1 to 334 of the family's 1533-position model. The record is from RNAcentral.
AGUAGACGUUCAGAGUUUGAUCCUGGCUCAGGAUGAACGCUAGCUACAGGCUUAACACAUGCAAGUCGAGGGGUUUGCUUCGGCAAACGACCGGCGCACGGGUGAGUAACGCGUAUCCAACCUGCCAUUCAUAUUGGGAUAGCCCUCCGAAAGGAGGAUUAAUACCGAAUAACAUAUUGUUGUUGCAUGAUAUCAAUAUGAAAGCUGAGGCGAUGAAUGAUGGGGAUGCGUUCCAUUAGGUAGUAGGCGGGGUAACGGCCCACCUAGCCAACGAUGGAUAGGGGUUCUGAGAGGAAGGUCCCCCACACUGGAACUGAGACACGGUCCAG